GAAUAUUGGACAAUGGGCGAAAGCCUGAUCCAGCCAUGCAGCGUGAGUGAAGAAGGUCUUCGGAUUGUAAACCUAUUUUAGUUGGGAGGAAGGGCAGUCAGCGAGUACUUUGCUGUUUUGACGUUAUCGACAGACUAAGCACAGCAUAACUCUGUGACAGCCGCCGCGGUGAUACAGAGGGUGCAAGCGUUAAUCGGAAUUACUGGGAGUAAAGCGCGCGUAGGUGGUUCGUUAAGUUGGAUGUGAAAUCCCCGGGCUCAACCUGGGAACUGCAUCAAUAACUGGCGAGCUAGAGUAGGGCAGAGGGUGGUGGAAUUUCCUGUGUAGCGGUGAAAUGCGUAGAUAUAGGAAGGAACACCAGUGGCGAAGGCGACCACCUGGGCUCAUACUGACACUGAGGUGCGAAAGCGUGGGGAGCAAACA
RNAcentral lists this ribosomal RNA (423 nucleotides) under uncultured bacterium. Its description in RNAcentral is "partial 16S ribosomal RNA". It matches the Rfam family "Bacterial small subunit ribosomal RNA", at positions 359 to 774 of the family's 1533-position model. The record is from RNAcentral.